UGCUUGAAUUCAAUCUAGUUCUCAUGAGAAUCAAUCUUUUCUCUCCGUCCAAUAAGCAUGUGUAUGUAUUUAUGUUUCAACCGGUUUUGUCAAGUCUUCAAUUUAAAGUCACUAUCUAGACGAAAUGCUUGGCUCAGUUUGAAACCUGGGCUUCUGAAUUGAUUUAAAUUGCUGAAACUUUAAGUUAGCUUUACGGUUUGAGCAAACAGAAUGUAGUUUGA
This is a non-coding RNA of Caenorhabditis elegans, 221 nucleotides long. The record is from Ensembl. Lineage: Eukaryota; Metazoa; Nematoda; Chromadorea; Rhabditida; Rhabditidae.